This is an RNA transcript of Osmia lignaria (orchard mason bee), 1989 nucleotides long. RefSeq lists it as uncharacterized. Lineage: Eukaryota; Metazoa; Arthropoda; Insecta; Hymenoptera; Megachilidae. The record is from RefSeq and is a predicted model, not a curated record.
UUCAAUUACUAUAUCAUAACUAUACCGGUAUUAUUAAGCGUUUGUCGCAAUCAGUAGUUCAUUGUGACCCCUUUUAACGUGAUACAUUAUAAUUCCUAAACGACUGCAAGAAAAAUUCAGGAAUUUAAGUGCGUGAUAGAAAGAUCUGAAGAUAAACUUAUCUAUUAUACUCAAAAUGAAUGCUGAACUCAAAAAAAAGGCUACGAUAGAGGAAGGGUUUUGUCAUGACGACGCCGAUUGUUCUGCACAACAAUAUUGUUAUCGUGUAUCUGAACGAUGCGUUGAUUACACUCAAUGUAGCAGAUACAAUCGGCAAGAAAAUCGGGAUAAGAGAUCGCGACAUCCUUCUCAGUGCGGACCAUGUUUUUCUGGUUACACGGCCGAAGAACUAGGUACAGGUGAAAUGGCGUGGGUGUGCAAGAAGGCAAAUAUCCAAAACGAUGUCCCUGAUGUAGGAAAAUUAAACAUUAACACAAUCAUCAUAUGGACAACAAUUAGCGGUGUCCUAUUCGUUUCUUUAUUAGUUAUGCUUGUUGGUCUAUACGUUAGGAGAAGAGCGUCAAAAAGACGAAAUAGUAAGCCGGAACAAUGUGGCGACCUUAGUAUGAUGGAACCAAGUGCUCCACCAGUUGAAAAUAGCCCAUUUAUUAGUCAUGGAAAAGAACUACAACACAUACCAUUCAAUAAUAAUAAAAAUUUCAAGGAUAAUAACAACCUUGUUUGCGCGUCCGGUUUUAAGCCACCGAGCUGGAUACGUACGAAUCCCAAUUACGAUAAUAAUUUAAACAACGAGAAUAUGACUACAACGGGUCAGUUGCAAUCUGUAGUUGAAAUAACUCCUACUGAUGUUCAGUCGAAUACUUGGCAACAAGACCAGUUAACGGUAGAGAUUACUAACGGCAACCUGAUCCAAUAUGAGGUAGAACAAGUAGACAAUAACACGAAUACAGUUUUACUACAGACCAAUAACCCUUCUUCAUCUAAUACAAAUGACGAAGAAGAUAAUAACAAUACCAGCAAUAACUCGGAUUCGAGCAAUGCUCAUGAAGAUAGAGAGCGUGUACGGACGUCGAACAUUUUAAUCUCUCCAAAAAUAUCUAUGAAUGUAAAUUUGCUCAACAUUGAUUGAUGAUCUCAAAAAAUAUGAAUAUUUGUAAUUGAAUGUUGCAUCAAGCAAAUGCCCGACGAGAGAGAAAUGAGAAAAUUUACUUGUCUUGAUUAUAAUGACUUACCAUUAUUAAAAAGGUGAAUAAAAAGUCUUUUUAUGUAAUGGAAAAAACGUAUGUUGCAGUAAUAUAAAUUCUGCUCGUUAUUAUUAAUUGUUAUAAUUUGAUAUCAAUAGUUCGUUAAAGAUUUUUAAACUUAACAUAUCGUUGUUAUAUUCUUAUCAUAGAGUAAGCUAUAAAAGGACUAUUUUUUCUGUAUUGAAAAUAUAAUAUUUCUGCAUAAUUAAUGUGCUCGAUAAUAACUAUAUCAACAAUUACUUUGAUAUUAAAGAGUGCUCAAUAUUUUACAAACACAUAAUAGUGUUUGUAAAUCUUAAAUAGAAAUGUGAUAGGUUUAUAGAUAAUCUUUUGUUAACUACCAGUAUUUAUAAUAUCAUAAAUCAAUGAUCUGUGUCAAAAUUUACAAUGUUUGACGAACAUUUAAAUAAAUAUUUUUUUAAAUAGGUGAAAUGAAACAAAAUUGUAAAAUUUUGUUAUCAUGUUUAACUGUAUAGUGCAUAUUACAUUCAUAUUAGGUAUAUCUUUAUAUGUACUGUUAUCUUUGCAUUACAUCUUCAAUAUGAAACUAUAGCCUUAUAUAUUUUGUACUUAUGUGCCAUUAUAGUUUCAGACAUUUCAUAUAGUAACUAAAUAUCAGUUUAUGAAUCUUAAAUUUGAUCUUUGAUAUUUAAAAUACUUUUUUAUAAGAAAAGUGCUUUCAUUAUGUUAUAAUGUUAUAUACUUCUACUAUUGUAUACUAUUAAUAAAAAAAUUUGAUUGAUAA